UGGGGAAUAUUGCACAAUGGGCGCAAGCCUGAUGCAGCAACGCCGCGUGAGGGACGACGGCCUUCGGGUUGUAAACCUCUUUUAGUAGGGAAGAAGCGAAAGUGACGGUACCUGCAGCAAACGCACAGGCUAACUACGUGCCAGCAGCCGCGGUAAUACGUAGGGUGCAAGCGUUAUCCGGAAUUAUUGGGCGUAAAGAGCUCGUAGGCGGUUUGUCACGUCUGCUGUGAAAACUGGAGGCUCAACCUCCAGCCUGCAGUGGGUACGGGCAGACUAGAGUGCGGUAGGGGAGAUUGUGAUUCCGGGUGUAGCGGUGGAAUGCGCAGAUAUCAGGAGGAACACCGAUGGCGACGGCAGAUCUCUGGGCCGUAACUGACGCUGAGGAGCGAAAGCAUGGGGAGCGAACA
This 407-nucleotide ribosomal RNA is filed under the name uncultured prokaryote. RNAcentral describes it as "bacterial SSU rRNA". It matches the Rfam family "Bacterial small subunit ribosomal RNA", at positions 355 to 774 of the family's 1533-position model. The record is from RNAcentral.